This 253-nucleotide ribosomal RNA is filed under the name uncultured bacterium. Its description in RNAcentral is "partial 16S ribosomal RNA". It matches the Rfam family "Bacterial small subunit ribosomal RNA", at positions 524 to 776 of the family's 1533-position model. The record is from RNAcentral.
UACGUAGGGUGCGAGCGUUAAUCGGAAUUACUGGGCGUAAAGCGUGCGCAGGCGGUUUUGUAAGCCAGAUGUGAAAGCCCCAGGCUUAACCUGGGAAUGGCAUUUGGGACUGCAAGGCUUGAGUGCGGCAGAGGAGACUGGAAUUCCUGGUGUAGCAGUGAAAUGCGUAGAUAUCAGGAGGAAUACCGAUGGCGAAGGCAGGUCUCUGGGCUGACACUGACGCUCAUGCACGAAAGCGUGGGGAGCAAACAGG